Molecule: non-coding RNA, 118 nt
Organism: Harpegnathos saltator (Jerdon's jumping ant)
Lineage: Eukaryota; Metazoa; Arthropoda; Insecta; Hymenoptera; Formicidae
Source: Rfam
CUACUCUAGUUUCCCUUCAGAUACGCAUAAAUCUUUCGCCUUUUACUAAAGAUUUCCGUGGAGGGGAACAACUAUGAGUCUGUGAAUUUUUUUGUUAUACCCAACUUAAGUUGGGUAU